RNAcentral lists this ribosomal RNA (131 nucleotides) under Enterococcus faecium. Its description in RNAcentral is "partial 23S ribosomal RNA". It matches the Rfam family "Bacterial large subunit ribosomal RNA", at positions 2797 to 2925 of the family's 2925-position model. Lineage: Bacteria; Bacillati; Bacillota; Bacilli; Lactobacillales; Enterococcaceae. The record is from RNAcentral.
CCUCAAGAUGAGAUUUCCCAUUUCUUUAAGAAAGUAAGAUCCCUGAGAGAUGAUCAGGUAGAUAGGUCAGGAGUGGAAGUACAGUGAUGUAUGGAGCGGACUGAUACUAAUCGAUCGAGGACUUAACCAAU